Molecule: ribosomal RNA, 459 nt
Filed under: uncultured bacterium
Lineage: Bacteria
Description: partial 16S ribosomal RNA
Rfam family: Bacterial small subunit ribosomal RNA
Source: RNAcentral
AACGAACGCUGGCGGCAUGCCUAACACAUGCAAGUCGAACGAGAUCUUCGGGUCUAGUGGCGCACGGGUGCGUAACGCGUGGGAAUCUGCCCUUUGGUUCGGAAUAACAGUUGGAAACGACUGCUAAUACCGGAUGAUGCCGAAUGUGCCCUUCGGGGGAAAGAUUUAUCGCCUUUAGAGCGGCCCGCGUCUGAUUAGCUAGUUGGUGAGGUAACGGCUCACCAAGGCGACGAUCAGUAGCUGGUCUGAGAGGAUGACCAGCCACACUGGGACUGAGACACGGCCCAGACUCCUACGGGAGGCAGCAGUGGGGAAUCUUGCGCAAUGGGCGAAAGCCUGACGCAGCCAUGCCGCGUGAAUGAUGAAGGUCUUAGGAUUGUAAAAUUCUUUCACCGGGGACGAUAAUGACGGUACCCGGAGAAGAAGCCCCGGCUAACUUCGUGCCAGCCGCCGCCGUAA